UACGUAGGGGGCAAGCGUUAUCCGGAUUUACUGGGUGUAAAGGGAGCGCAGACGGCUUUACAAGUCAGAAGUGAAAGCCCCGGGCUUAACCCGGGGACUGCUUUUGAAACUGCAGAGCUUGAGUACUGGAGGGGCAGGCGGAAUUCCUGGUGUAGCGGUGAAAUGCGUAGAUAUCAGGAGGAACGCCGGUGGCGAAGGCGGCCUGCUGGACAGAGACUGACGUUGAGGCUCGAAAGCGUGGGGAG
This 245-nucleotide ribosomal RNA is filed under the name uncultured Stomatobaculum sp. RNAcentral's name for it is "partial 16S ribosomal RNA". It matches the Rfam family "Bacterial small subunit ribosomal RNA", at positions 524 to 768 of the family's 1533-position model. The record is from RNAcentral. Lineage: Bacteria; Bacillati; Bacillota; Clostridia; Lachnospirales; Lachnospiraceae.